RNAcentral lists this microRNA (22 nucleotides) under Homo sapiens (human). Its description in RNAcentral is "hsa-miR-489-5p". Its record names the gene hsa-miR-489-5p. The record is from miRBase by way of RNAcentral. Lineage: Eukaryota; Metazoa; Chordata; Mammalia; Primates; Hominidae.
GGUCGUAUGUGUGACGCCAUUU